UUUAAACAUAGAGUACCAAUUGAUAAACAUAAGAGUGCUUAGCAUAACAUAAGUUUGAACACAUAAACUUACACAAGUCUUAACAAGAGUCCUCUCUCUUAACAAACAAAGACUUGUGUUAACCGAAAUAAGAAAAAUAGAUAGGUAGGGAAGACAAAUUUUUUAGCACAUGAACUCAGAACGUGCGAGGUCGAGAAUCUCAUGGACGGGAGGUCGAGGUAAUGAGCCUCUUAAGCUUAGCAAUCUCUUCA
Molecule: long non-coding RNA, 251 nt
Filed under: Brassica napus (rape)
Lineage: Eukaryota; Viridiplantae; Streptophyta; Magnoliopsida; Brassicales; Brassicaceae
Description: long non-coding RNA (BNAP_LNC025917)
Source: RNAcentral